This 101-nucleotide transfer-messenger RNA is filed under the name Thermomonas sp. RNAcentral's name for it is "partial transfer-messenger RNA". It matches the Rfam family "transfer-messenger RNA", at positions 271 to 374 of the family's 374-position model. From Rfam's summary of the family: Bacterial tmRNA, also known as 10Sa RNA or SsrA, is named for its dual tRNA and mRNA-like properties. The record is from RNAcentral. Lineage: Bacteria; Pseudomonadati; Pseudomonadota; Gammaproteobacteria; Lysobacterales; Lysobacteraceae.
ACGUUGUGUUGCCGCCAUCCGAGACCAAACAACGAGCUAAGCAUGUAGUGCCGGGCAUGGAGCAUCUUCGGACGGGGGUUCGAUUCCCCCCACCUCCACCA